CCUACGGGCGGCAGCAGUCGAGAAUCAUUCACAAUGGGGGAAACCCUGAUGGUGCGACGCCGCGUGGGGGAAUGAAGGUCUUCGGAUUGUAAACCCCUGUCAUGUGGGAGCAAAUUAAAAAGAUAGUACCACAAGAGGAAGAGACGGCUAACUCUGUGCCAGCAGCCGCGGUAAUACAGAGGUCUCAAGCGUUGUUCGGAAUCACUGGGCGUAAAGCGUGCGUAGGCUGUUUCGUAAGUCGUGUGUGAAAGGCGCGGGCUCAACCGGCGGACGGCACAUGAUACUGGGAGACUAGAGGAAUGGAGGGGGAACCGGAAUUCUCGGUGUAGCAGUGAAAUGCGUAGAUAUCGAGAGGAACACUCGUGGCGAAGGCGGGUUCCUGGACAUUAACUGACGCUGAGGCACGAAGGCCAGGGGAGCGAAAGGGAUUAGAUACCCGGGUAGUC
Molecule: ribosomal RNA, 446 nt
Filed under: uncultured bacterium
Lineage: Bacteria
Description: partial 16S ribosomal RNA
Rfam family: Bacterial small subunit ribosomal RNA
Source: RNAcentral